Molecule: ribosomal RNA, 950 nt
Filed under: Acinetobacter sp. SG11
Lineage: Bacteria; Pseudomonadati; Pseudomonadota; Gammaproteobacteria; Moraxellales; Moraxellaceae
Description: bacterial SSU rRNA
Rfam family: Bacterial small subunit ribosomal RNA
Source: RNAcentral
CUUAGCGGCGGACGGGUGAGUAAUGCUUAGGAAUCUGCCUAUUAGUGGGGGACAACAUUCCGAAAGGAAUGCUAAUACCGCAUACGCCCUACGGGGGAAAGCAGGGGAUCUUCGGACCUUGCGCUAAUAGAUGAGCCUAAGUCGGAUUAGCUAGUUGGUGGGGUAAAGGCCUACCAAGGCGACGAUCUGUAGCGGGUCUGAGAGGAUGAUCCGCCACACUGGGACUGAGACACGGCCCAGACUCCUACGGGAGGCAGCAGUGGGGAAUAUUGGACAAUGGGCGGAAGCCUGAUCCAGCCAUGCCGCGUGUGUGAAGAAGGCCUUUUGGUUGUAAAGCACUUUAAGCGAGGAGGAGGCUACUUAUAUUAAUACUCUAGGAUAGUGGACGUUACUCGCAGAAUAAGCACCGGCUAACUCUGUGCCAGCAGCCGCGGUAAUACAGAGGGUGCGAGCGUUAAUCGGAUUUACUGGGCGUAAAGCGUGCGUAGGCGGCUUUUUAAGUCGGAUGUGAAAUCCCCGAGCUUAACUUGGGAAUUGCAUUCGAUACUGGGAAGCUAGAGUAUGGGAGAGGAUGGUAGAAUUCCAGGUGUAGCGGUGAAAUGCGUAGAGAUCUGGAGGAAUACCGAUGGCGAAGGCAGCCAUCUGGCCUAAUACUGACGCUGAGGUACGAAAGCAUGGGGAGCAAACAGGAUUAGAUACCCUGGUAGUCCAUGCCGUAAACGAUGUCUACUAGCCGUUGGGGCCUUUGAGGCUUUAGUGGCGCAGCUAACGCGAUAAGUAGACCGCCUGGGGAGUACGGUCGCAAGACUAAAACUCAAAUGAAUUGACGGGGGCCCGCACAAGCGGUGGAGCAUGUGGUUUAAUUCGAUGCAACGCGAAGAACCUUACCUGGUCUUGACAUACAGAGAACUUUCCAGAGAUGGAUUGGUGCCUUCGGGAACUCUGAUACA